GAUGAACGCUGGCGGCGUGCCUAAUACAUGCAAGUCGAGCGAACAGACGAGGAGCUUGCUCCUCUGGCGUUAGCGGCGGACGGGUGAGUAACACGUGGAUAACCUACCUAUAAGACUGGGAUAACUUCGGGAAACCGGAGCUAAUACCGGAUAAUAUAUUGAACCGCAUGGUUCAAUAGUGAAAGACGGUUUUGCUGUCACUUAUAGAUGGAUCCGCGCCGCAUUAGCUAGUUGGUAAGGUAACGGCUUACCAAGGCAACGAUGCGUAGCCGACCUGAGAGGGUGAUCGGCCACACUGGAACUGAGACACGGUCCAGACUCCUAAGGGAGGCAGCAGUAGGGAAUCUUCCGCAAUGGGCGAAAGCCUGACGGAGCAACGCCGCGUGAGUGAUGAAGGUCUUCGGAUCGUAAAACUCUGUUAUUAGGGAAGAACAAAUGUGUAAGUAACUAUGCACGUCUUGACGGUACCUAAUCAGAAAGCCACGGCUAACUACGUG
Molecule: ribosomal RNA, 497 nt
Filed under: uncultured bacterium
Lineage: Bacteria
Description: partial 16S ribosomal RNA
Rfam family: Bacterial small subunit ribosomal RNA
Source: RNAcentral